GAUGAACGCUGGCGGCGUGCCUAAUACAUGCAAGUAGAACGCUGAAGGAGGAGCUUGCUCUUCUGGAUGAGUUGCGAACGGGUGAGUAACGCGUAGGUAACCUGCCUGGUAGCGGGGGAUAACUAUUGGAAACGAUAGCUAAUACCGCAUGACAACAGUUAUUGCAUGAUAACUGUUUAAAAGGGGCAACUGCUCCACUACCAGAUGGACCUGCGUUGUAUUAGCUAGUUGGUGAGGUAACGGCUCACCAAGGCGACGAUACAUAGCCGACCUGAGAGGUUGGUCGGCCGCACUGGGACUGAGACACGGCCCAGACUCCUACGGGAGGCAGCAGUAGGGAAUCUUCGGCAAUGGACGGAAGUCUGACCGAGCAACGCCGCGUGAGUGAAGAAGGUUUUCGGAUCGUAAAGCUCUGUUGUAAGAGAAGAACGAGUGUGAGAGUGGAAAGUUCACACUGUGACGGUAUCUUACCAGAAAGGGACGGCUAACUACGUG
This 495-nucleotide ribosomal RNA is filed under the name uncultured bacterium. Its description in RNAcentral is "partial 16S ribosomal RNA". It matches the Rfam family "Bacterial small subunit ribosomal RNA", at positions 28 to 507 of the family's 1533-position model. The record is from RNAcentral.